This is a long non-coding RNA of Oncorhynchus gorbuscha (pink salmon), 2677 nucleotides long. RefSeq lists it as uncharacterized. The transcript is spliced from 6 exons. The record is from RefSeq and is a predicted model, not a curated record. NCBI's taxonomy places the organism in Eukaryota, Metazoa, Chordata, Actinopteri, Salmoniformes, Salmonidae.
GGAAAAUGUAGAGAGGAGGGAGUGAAAGGAUGCCAGGUCCGCAGGGAGGCGAGUUUUCCUCCAUUUCCGCUCGGCUGCCCGGAGCCCUGUUCUGAGAUCUCGCAAUGAGUCGUCGAGCCACUAGCUUAUGAAGAUAAGCUAGUGUAAACAUUUGAAUAGAUGUGCUGUAUACAUUAUUUUGGGUUCGGUUGUGUCUUUGGGCCCUGGAAGAAGCUGUAUUACCGCUACACGAAGAAGGAGAUCGACGCCGUGAAGAAUAUCAACGCCAUCCUGGAAACCCAUAGAAUCAUAAAGGACGACCAGGAGAGCAUCCUCCAUAUGGUCGAGUUCAUGGCCCAGUAUAAGCCCAGUCAAAGGGUGAAGCCUGGGACAGUGUUACAGAGUGUGAGGACACAUCGUCUGUUCUCUCAGGCUGAGGCCUGCAUUACACAGACUCCCAAAAAAUGGAGGGUAUCGAGGGGGUAUGUAGCCCCACACAUACUCUGUGAUGGCGCUCCCUUCAGCCAUCACAGAGUACCUCAGCGCCAUGGCAACCAUGCUGCUCGCCGUGAGGAGGAAUGACAUCAACAUCAGCAACAGGUUGCAAUAGAUCUUCUACGUCCUUCACCUGAUGGAGAACGCCCUGCCCACAGCAAUAACCAAUCAGAGUGGGAGAGUCCAGGUUCGGGUGACCCACAAACAGCAGAUCCUCAACCACGACAUCCAUAGAGACCACGUACCACCAGACCGCUACUACCAACAUCAUGCCACAGCUGUGUUUUUACAGAAAACAAGUUAGAUAUAGGUUACCAGGAGUUGAAGACGUUGUCUAGUAACAUGAAGCCCUUCUCUGUGGCCUGAGUGCUGCCUAAGGGCAGCGGGGGCUUCGUCAACGUCAAGGUGGUCACCCUGACCCUCAAUGCCUACAUGGCCUCGGCCGACACACACAUCACCCCCAACCACGUCCCAAACACACAUGGCACAGUGACCGUGCCCAACCGCAAUGCAAAAAGGAUGUUUGCGAGGGAUGCCCAGAAGAUCUGGGACAAAAUGGUUGCCUUAGAAGAGACCAGGGAGUAUGCAUACCACAUGAACUAUGAUGGUAAGCUUUUUUCACUCCAUACCAUGUUUUGAAUAUGUCAUUGUCUUCCAGGGUAUCUGAAGCAGUGGCAGAUGCGGAGGCCGACUCUGGACAAGUAUGAUGUCCUCUUUAUAGACGAGGCACAGGACUGCACUCCAGGUACACCACUGUACCACACCUGGACCAAACCUGGGUCUACAUUACACAAACCUGGGUCUACAUUACACCAGAACAGCCUGAAUUCUUCAGGGAAUUUAAACAUUGUUCACUUGGUAUCAAGGGACCUAACGUGUGCAAGGAAAACAAUACCCACACCAUUAUACCACCGCCACCAACCGGUACUGUUGAUACCAGGCACUAUGGGGCCAUGGACACAUGCUGCUUAUGCCAAAUCCGGACUCAGCCAUCAGCAUGACACAACAGGAACCUGGAUUCGUCAGACCAGUUGAUGUUUUUCUACUCCUCAAUUGUCCACUGUUGGUGAUUGUGUGCCCACAAAAGCCAUUUCUUGUUUCUGAGAUACUGGAACCGGCACGCCUGGCACUAACGAUCAUACCAGGCUCAGUCUCUUAGGUCACUCGUUUUGCACAUUCUAACAUUCAAUCGAACAGUAACUGAAUGCCGCAAUAACUGUUUGCCUAUUUUAUGUCGCAAGCCAAGGCCACUCAUCUCACUGUCUGUAGGAGCAAACUAUUUUCAUGAACGGGGUUAAUCAUAAACUGAUUAACAACGUUUGGACAGGAGCUAUAAUCCAAAUUUAAACUGUGUGUCCUUAUUGCUCCAUGUUCAGGUUUGGCUGCACUGCUUUUAAUGGGGAAAGAUUGCUUCUGUGAUUUUUGUUGAUCACGUCACGUUCCCGGGUGGAGUUUUGGCUUGCCUGGUAACAUCACCAGGGGGUAUACAUUAAUAUAAUAACAAAUAGAGUUCCAAGCCUCUCGGCUAAUAACAGCUAGUUUUCAGAUGACAUAUCCCUUCCAUUAGACCCCUCUGCUCGGGGAUUGAUCCACACUGGUAAUUAAUGCAACGCUUUGGUGCCCUUCCCUCCCAACUAGGACAGCAACCUUCUUGCUUCUUUCUUUUAUAUAAGCAGUUCAGCACAUCAGUAUUUAUCCUACUGUUGAACAAAAUCAAGAUAAAUCUUUACCAUCACAAUAGAUAUUGAACGUCUAUAUGUAACUGAUGUGAAAGGGCUAGCAAGUUAGCGGGGUGCGCGCUAAUAGCGUUUCAAUCGGUGAAUAAAUAAUUAUUUGAUAUUCUGACAUUUCACGUUCUUAAAAUAAAGUAGUGAUCCUAACUGAACUAAGACAGGGAAUUUUUACUAUGAUUUAAUGUCAGGAAUUGUGACAAACUGAGUUUAAGUGUAUUUGGCUAAGGUGUAUGUAAACUUCAGACUUCAACUGUAUAAUGGCUACCAUGAUAUCCUGCAGGUUAUGUCGGCAAAUAAUGUUCGGGCAGUUCAGUAAAAAUGUAGGCAUACCUUGAAAUAAAUAAUUACAAUAAUCCGAUUGGUAUUUGACAAUUUAUUUUCUGUAAAACGUGGAGUAUUAUGUUGAUGGAGUUGUUAUAGCAUGCUUGAUAACGUUGGCGAGCUUUUUCCAUCCCCAAACACCAUGCUAU